UACAACAUAGAAUUAAUGCAGUGGGUCCCAUUAGAACUCCAAAGUUAAGUGCACUCAAGAUAGAGGAGUACUGGAAUGGGUGAUCGCCCGAGAAGUCCUAGUGUUUUAC
Picea glauca (white spruce) is the source of this 109-nucleotide non-coding RNA. The record is from Rfam. NCBI's taxonomy places the organism in Eukaryota, Viridiplantae, Streptophyta, Pinopsida, Pinales, Pinaceae.